UACGAAGGGGGCGAGCGUUGUUCGGAAUUACUGGGCGUAAAGGGCGCGCAGGCGGCCUUUCAAGUCAGAUGUGAAAGCCCCGGGCUCAACCUGGGAAUGGCAUUUGGGACUGGAAGGCUCGGGAUCGGGAGAGGAGGGUGGAAUUCCCAGUGUAGAGGUGAAAUUCGUAGAUAUUGGGAAGAACACCGGUGGCGAAGGCGGCUCUCUGGACCGAUACUGACGCUGAGGCGCGAAAGCGUGGGGAGCAAACAGG
RNAcentral lists this ribosomal RNA (253 nucleotides) under uncultured bacterium. RNAcentral's name for it is "partial 16S ribosomal RNA". It matches the Rfam family "Bacterial small subunit ribosomal RNA", at positions 524 to 776 of the family's 1533-position model. The record is from RNAcentral.